AACGAACGCUGGCGGCAUGCCUAACACAUGCAAGUCGAACGAGACCUUCGGGUCUAGUGGCGCACGGGUGCGUAACACGUGGGAAUCUGCCCUUUGCUUCGGAAUAACAGUUAGAAAUGACUGCUAAUACCGGAUGAUGUCGAAAGACCAAAGAUUUAUCGGCAAAGGAUGGGCCCGCGUAGGAUUAGGUAGUUGGUGGGGUAAAGGCCUACCAAGCCGACGAUCCUUAGCUGGUCUGAGAGGAUGAUCAGCCACACUGGGACUGAGACACGGCCCAGACUCCUACGGGAGGCAGCAGUGGGGAAUAUUGGACAAUGGGCGAAAGCCUGAUCCAGCAAUGCCGCGUGAGUGAUGAAGGCCUUAGGGUUGUAAAGCUCUUUUACCAGGGAUGAUAAUGACAGUACCUGGAGAAUAAGCUCCGGCUAACUCCGUG
This 433-nucleotide ribosomal RNA is filed under the name uncultured bacterium. RNAcentral's name for it is "partial 16S ribosomal RNA". It matches the Rfam family "Bacterial small subunit ribosomal RNA", at positions 29 to 507 of the family's 1533-position model. The record is from RNAcentral.